UACGUAGGCAGCGAGCGUUGUUCGGAAUUACUGGGCGCAAAGAGUGUGUAGGCGGUGUUCCCAGUCUGUUGUGAAAUCUCCCGGCUUAACUGGGAGGGUGCAGCGGAAACUAGAAUGCUAGAGGGUGGGAGAGGUAAGCGGAAUUCCUGGUGUAGCGGUGAAAUGCGUAGAUAUCAGGAGGAACACCUGUGGUGUAGACAGCUUACUGGACCACUUCUGACGCUGAGACACGAAAGCGUGGGUAGCAAACAGG
This 253-nucleotide ribosomal RNA is filed under the name uncultured bacterium. Its description in RNAcentral is "partial 16S ribosomal RNA". It matches the Rfam family "Bacterial small subunit ribosomal RNA", at positions 524 to 776 of the family's 1533-position model. The record is from RNAcentral.